This 4085-nucleotide long non-coding RNA is filed under the name Mus musculus (house mouse). RNAcentral's name for it is "long non-coding RNA chr13:34033062-34037147". Lineage: Eukaryota; Metazoa; Chordata; Mammalia; Rodentia; Muridae. The record is from RNAcentral.
UUGGGGGAAGGUGGCCUUCGUUCAGCUUGUGUCAUAGUCAUCACUUAGGUUAUUUGCUCAGUUUCCUGUGGUUUCAUUGGGUAAGGGGAAAACAAACAAAAAACAUUCAAAGAAUGUAAAAUCAGCUAGCUUCCCGCUUCAUGGACUGUGAGUCAGAAAAGUUCUGCUCAAAUGCCUUCUAUGAGCCACGGCUCUUCUAAAAACUAUAGGAUCUGUUAACUUGAGCAUCCAAUGCUGUACUGUCACCUUAAGCUUUAAGAAUCAUGUGUAAUUCUAGUCUAUCAAAUUAUCAAUUAGUGAGAGAUUUUUAAGGAGUGCUAAGGAGAAAAAGGUGCAGGGCAGAGAGAGAUCUUCAGGUACUGGCUGUCAUUGCAGCUCAGGUACUGGCUGUCAUUGCAGAGCUGCUGCUGGUUCUGGCUGCUGUAAAAAGUCUACUUUUAAGUUUCUAAAGUUUCUCUACCAUUCUGGCGCUUCAUGCAGUUUCCCACCCUGUGAGCCCCACAGAGGGAACAGAUGUGCAGGAAACACUGAUCGGGAAAUACCAUCUCCUCCUCUCUGGAUAUGACUGGUGCCUUAGCACUGUUCCCUGUGCCCAAUAAACUGUUUCCUCAGUUUUCUCCAGUGUGCUGUACAAAUAUGUUUCUUCUGUGUGCCACCAAUCAAGAAAGGACAGCUUCAGAGUCAUCUUGUGCCUUUAGGAAGCCCAUAUUGCAACCUACAAGUGAGUGAAGGAGCUAGGGUAGAAGACUGAAGCCGCCUACACCAGCCACAGUCACUGUUAGGAUGGGCUGCACAGCCGCUUUGGCCUUGUUGGCCAUUCUGGCACUCAUUGGCACUUCAUCCUCCUUUGUUGGGCUAUCCUGUACUCAGUAGGAUAUUUGGGAACAUUCCUGGCCUCCAUCUGCAAGAUGCCAACAGUACAAGUCAACCUCACAACACCCACCAGGUGUGAGAAAAAUAACUAGAUAUUGCUACAUGUUCUUUGGAGGGACUCUCCUGUAACGUUAUUUCCCCCAUCCCCAGACAAGGUUUCUCAGUUCUCGCUGUCCUGGAACUCACUUUGUAGACCAGAUUGGUCUCCCAAUUCAGAGAUCUGCCUGCCUCUGCCUCCUGAGUGCUGGGAAUAAAGGCAUGUGCCACCACCACCCAGCUUCCUGCUGUAAGUUUAUAUGCCUUACUUCUCCUGUCACACAGGCUAGGCCAUCAUUAACAGCAUGGAACAUGCACAGUGGAAGGGAAUUGGAGCAGGGAAGGUUCCAGGCUUUCCUGAAGGAGCCUGCAUAGUCUUUAAAAAAUGUUUUCUUUUUAACUUCUAAUGCUGUUUUAAGAAGACAGAAUUAGAAACUGCUUCUAGUGGAGUUUUAAGGAGAAUAAAAUAGCAAGGGAGGCCAGAGCUGGUUUUGGAAUUGCAGUAGCAAUCAGGGUCCUAGUAUUAAAAUCAUGUCUGUUAGUGUUCAGUAGGGGAAGACUUGUGUGUCCACUGCUGAAGAUAGGUGCUUCAGAUCCAGGCCUGGAUUGUGACCACAGACUUUCAGAUCUUUUCCAGGCUCACCACUGACAGCCAGACAAUGGCUUGGCACCUCGAGUUGUGGCUGAGCCUGUAUGAGUUGAAGGAUGGUCAGUAGAUGAAGCCGUUUACUCUCAUGGUGUGUGCCCUUGUACAAGAGAUCUGGGCGCGUGACACAAAGCCAGUCAUUGACAGGCUAGACCCAAAGACCUUUAAGCACUCCCAUUUGCUUCCGCUGUAUCACAAUAACUGAUGACUUUGUAGUCAGUGGUACCUGCUCCGAACAAGUACGUGGAGUGUGGGAGUCCCUCUGGGAGCCCAGCGUGGAAUUAGAACACCUCUUUAAAGCCACCUCCUAAGCCGAGCAGAAUGCAGUGGACUGGGGUACAAGUCAGACCUGAGUGUCAUUGUCCACAUCAUGGAAAAACAAGAUGGCCACCAGAACACUGAAGGCCUGAGGAGACUAACCCUGUUCCCAGAACUCAGAGUUCUGUUUGGUUCUGUUUUUAAUAAGAUAACCUUUCUUUAAUGUAUACAUAUGCAUAUACAUAUAUAUUUGUACUUUAAAUACAGAGUACUGAAUAAAAUUUAUGUGACUAUACUGCUCAUGUUGGCAUCUCCUGUGCUGCUAACAGAAGGGUAUGCUGAUGGUGAACAGGUGUUCCCAUGCAGCACACUCUGUCCCCAAGGGGCCAGCACCACGGCAGUCCUUCCACAUGGCUCAGAGGCCUUUCAGCUCUGCUCUAAGUGCCUCCCUGAAAAGAGCUGUGCUUACCUCUGAGGGUUUCAGUCCAAGCUACACGGCACGACUAUACCUGGCCAGAAACCAGAUAAGCAAGGGGAGCCAGGCCGGAAAACAAGAGAGGAGACUCGACAGUUGCUCCCAAGCACAGGUUUUCUACUUGCUGUGCUUGUGGUCCUGUCUUUCAUCAGUUGUGUGGUUACUGUAAAGAAUGAGAAAAGGAGCCCUGCCUCAAAGACUUGUUUUUUUAGAUCUAUUUAUUUAUGUCUAUGAGUACACUGUAGCUGACCAGAUGGUUGUGAACCACCACGUGAUUGCUGGAAUUGGAACUCAAUGACCUCCAGAAGAGCAGUCAUUGCACUUAACCGCUGAGCCAUCUCACCAGCCCCCUCAAAAACCUCUUAACCAUUAUCUUGAUGUAUUUUUUUUCUUUGCUUUCUUAAGAGUUGUUUACAAAAAGAUGCAACCUAUUCUAACAGGGUAAAUAUUUUCAACCAUUUCACUUUAAGUUAAUGAAGGUUCAUAAAUGAACAACAUACCCACUCAGUAUCCUAUCUAUCUAUUUAUUUAUUUAUUUUGUGUGCACAUGUGCUUUUUUUUUCUUUAAUGUGGAGGUCAGAGGCCAACUGAUGGAAGUCAGUUCUCUAUACAAGUAGGGCCUACUUACUUCCUUGGCAGAAUCUUCUACCUUCUAUGUUACCACAUUUUCCAAAAUGUCAUGUUUAUAUUCAGUGAAAAUUCCAGUAGUGUGUCAACUCUUGUCCACAUAUCUGGGUGUUCCUUUAAUUGCCUCUGCUGUAUUUUGCUGCAUCCCCAGCACUUGGGAGGCUGACACAGGAGGAUCAAGCAUCCAAGGCUAGCCUCACCCUAGGCUUCUCUAUGGUAUAAGCAGUAUACAAAGAUAUCUAAAGGGUUGACAACCAGAUUGUGGCUAAAACUGAACCACUUAAUCUGAUAAUGUUUUAUAACUGCUGACAAUAUUUUUAAAAAGGGCCUUAGAAGGUGAGGUAGGGGAAGAGGGGAAGAAAUCAAGGUUCCCUUCAUGGUUUUAUCGCUUCAAAAAAUGGGGUGGGGUUAAAAUGGAGGACAGACUCAAUGACAUUUACAAAUAAGUGAUUAUAAAGAGUUAAGAGCUAGUGUAAUUGUAGUAAGAGGUAUGAUGUUUUCAUAUAGCAUUAGGAAGCUAAGCCGACCUGAAUACCCCUCCACAGCUCUGUGAGCCAAGCCUUUCUAACUUCUCUUCCCACUGUUUCCUCGUCUAUAAUCUGGGGUAAGAAGUAUGGAUGGAGAAGGAGCAUAUACUAAUUAAAAAUAUAGUGACACACUUUAAGGCACCUGGCACAAAAAUGACUAGUUUUUGGUAUGAAGUAUUGAAAGCUCCCUCCCCCCCCAUUACUGGGACUAGUCAUUGCUGGGUAAUUGGAUCGUGAGGACUCUGACUUAAUCAAUGGAGUUAUCUAUUAAUGGAUUCAUAGUUUGUUGGUAUUAUUGGAAGAUAUAGGAGGUGGGGCCUGACUACAAGAAGCAGGUCACUGGGAGCAUGCAUGUCUUUGAACAAUUUUUCCUUUGAACAGUUUCUUCCAGUUCUUUCUCUUCUCCCUCUCAGCCUGUUAAGUGCUCUUAACACUUAAGUGCCUCCGCUCCCACCAUGCACUGCCUUUCCUCGGGCCCAAAGAAAUGGGUCCGGAUGACCUUGAGCUUAGAGCUCUGAAACCAUGAACCUUUCCCCCUUUUACAUUGUUCUCAAAUGUUUGUCACAGUGGUGCAUAAAGCUAACACAGCAAGAUGUACAAAUGAUGAGUUCUUAAGACGUGCAUAAUAAAUGUUGCUCUAAGU